GACGAACGCUGGCGGCGUGCUUAACACAUGCAAGUCGAACGAUGAAGCUAGAGCUUGCUCUGGUGGAUUAGUGGCGAACGGGUGAGUAACACGUGAGUAACCUGCCCCGAACUCUGGGAUAACUGCUGGAAACGGUAGCUAAUACCGGAUAUGACCAAUGAAGGCAUCUUCUGUUGGUGGAAAGAAUUUCGGUUCGGGAUGGACUCGCGGCCUAUAAGCUUGUUGGUGAGGUAACGGCUCACCAAGGCGACGACGGGUAGCCGGCCUGAGAGGGUGAUCGGCCACACUGGGACUGAGACACGGCCCAGACUCCUACGGGAGGCAGCAGUGGGGAAUAUUGCACAAUGGGCGCAAGCCUGAUGCAGCAACGCCGCGUGAGGGACGACGGCCUUCGGGUUGUAAACCUCUUUUAGUAGGGAAGAAGCGAAAGUGACGGUACCUGCAGAAAAAGCACCGGCUAACUACGUGCCAGCCGCCGCGGUAA
RNAcentral lists this ribosomal RNA (484 nucleotides) under uncultured bacterium. RNAcentral describes it as "partial 16S ribosomal RNA". It matches the Rfam family "Bacterial small subunit ribosomal RNA", at positions 28 to 523 of the family's 1533-position model. The record is from RNAcentral.